GGGAAGGUGGCUCAGUGGUAGAGUGCUUGCCUUGCAUGCAUGAGACCCUGGGUUCGAUUCCUCAGCACCCU
Molecule: transfer RNA, 71 nt
Filed under: Dipodomys ordii (Ord's kangaroo rat)
Lineage: Eukaryota; Metazoa; Chordata; Mammalia; Rodentia; Heteromyidae
Rfam family: tRNA
About the family: Transfer RNA (tRNA) molecules are approximately 80 nucleotides in length. Their secondary structure includes four short double-helical elements and three loops (D, anti-codon, and T loops). Further hydrogen bonds mediate the characteristic L-shaped molecular structure. tRNAs have two regions of fundamental functional importance: the anti-codon, which is responsible for specific mRNA codon recognition, and the 3' end, to which the tRNAs corresponding amino acid is attached (by aminoacyl-tRNA synthetases). tRNAs cope with the degeneracy of the genetic code in two manners: having more than one tRNA (with a specific anti-codon) for a particular amino acid; and 'wobble' base-pairing, i.e. permitting non-standard base-pairing at the 3rd anti-codon position.
Source: Rfam by way of RNAcentral